Molecule: long non-coding RNA, 703 nt
Filed under: Cricetulus griseus (Chinese hamster)
Lineage: Eukaryota; Metazoa; Chordata; Mammalia; Rodentia; Cricetidae
Description: lncRNA (ENSCGRG00015001474.2)
Source: RNAcentral
AAGAAACCAAUUUGCCAUGGCAACAGACCACUCAGAUGCUGGCCCCUCCUCCAGGCCCAGCCAACUACUGCCCCUUCCUGAAGGACAGUCUAACCUCCUUGGCAGCAGGCAGAAGCCAGGAAGGCACUCCUGGAGGAAGCGGGUGUCAGGCUGCCUGGCUUGAGGCCAUGCGUGGCUGAUUGCUGACCCGUGUCUCUGAGCGUCUUCCUAGCAGAGAGCCAGACCAGAGUUCCCCCACUCUCCUUCAGUUUCAACCUUUCAAAACCCAUGUCAUGGACACCAAGACUCCAGGGACUUCCGGAAAUAGCCUUCUUUAGGCUGUCUGCUGAGCCAAAUGGGAAACUGAGGCCCAGAUGGAAGAGAGGCAAUACUGAUGCUGAUCUGGAGCUAACUAGCUACAGCAGACUCUGCCAGCUGGUGACUUGGACAAGCAUAUCUACCCAGCUACCUCUUUGCUGUCAGUUGAGGAUAAAACCAGCACCUGCUCCCUGGACACUGAGGAGAGACCUUCAGGGGCACAUGAACCCUAGGAUACGGAUAAGAAACCAACAAGGUUUGCUGCCUACUGUGGCUGCUGCCAGAGAUUUUGGAACCUCAGCCUCAUCACAGACAGCUUGAAGAGACCAUGCCUUGGACUCAGACCAAGGAAGAUGAGCAAAGGCUCAGUAUUCUACAGUAUUGCCCUGAUAUCCAUGUAGUAAAU